GUAGUCUCGCACAGAUGCAUAUCAAUAAGCGGAGGAAAAGAAACUAACAAGGAUUCCCCUAGUAACGGCGAGUGAAGCGGGAAGAGCUCAAAUUUGAAAUCUUAAAGGGUUUCCCUUUACGAAUUGUAGUUUAAAGAAGUGUUUUCUGUUGAGGUUUUGGUAAAAGUUCUUUGGAAUAGGACAUCAUAGAGGGUGAGAAUCCCGUAUUUGACCUUUACUUUCAACUUUGUGAUACACUUUCAAAGAGUCGGAUUGUUUGGGAAUGCAGUCCAAAAUGGGUGGUAAAUUUCAUCUAAAGCUAAAUAUUGGCGAGAGACCGAUAGCGAACAAGUACCGUGAGGGAAAGAUGAAAAGAACUUUGAAAAGAGAGUUAAACAGUACGUGAAAUUGUCAAAAGGGAAGCGUUUGACACCAGUGUUGUUUUUCUGAAAAUCAAUUAAAGAACUGUUUAUGCUAAGCUGUUUAGACUUUAUCAGCUAACUGUUUAGUUUUGAGCUUUUCUUUAAUGCACUUUUCAGUUAACAAGUCAACAUCAAUUUCUUUUGCUGUAAAAAAGCUUGAGGAAGGUGGCUUGAGAUUCGUCUUAAGUGUUUAUAGCCUCUUGCCUAUGCAGUCGGAGAGAUUGAGGUCUGCAGCGUAGAUCCUUCGGGGCUAAAUGCAUUUGUGCUAAGUUAUAGCAUUUUAUAGACAACUUGUUGACUAUGAUUUGUCUUGUAGCUCACUCGCUUAUGUUAUUUUACCUACGCUUAGGAUGUUGAAGACUCUACAGAGAUA
Molecule: ribosomal RNA, 774 nt
Filed under: uncultured Neocallimastigales
Lineage: Eukaryota; Fungi; Neocallimastigomycota; Neocallimastigomycetes; Neocallimastigales
Description: partial large subunit ribosomal RNA
Rfam family: Eukaryotic large subunit ribosomal RNA
Source: RNAcentral